Molecule: long non-coding RNA, 1343 nt
Filed under: Equus caballus (horse)
Lineage: Eukaryota; Metazoa; Chordata; Mammalia; Perissodactyla; Equidae
Description: lncRNA (ENSECAG00000042618.2)
Source: RNAcentral
CCAUGAGCAAAUAAGUCUGGGUAAACUCUAUAUUCACUGGGGGACCCCAGAAGACUCAGAAAAUUGCUGGAAUUACAGGUGCCUCUGAGGACCUCUCAGGAAUGAUGACAAGUGAGCAGUGCUUUCCAGUCGUGUGCUCAGUGGCAGGCAGUGUGAUACCACAGGGACGGAUGGUGCUCAGCCACUGUGAACUGAGUCACGUGGGCGUCCAGUUCCUGGAGACUGCAAAUGAGAAGGGAAUUCACCUGCAGAGAAAGAAUAAAACAGUAGCAACGGCAACUACCACGCCAAACUCCACAUUUAAGACCAAAACUCCCUCUGAACUUAUCCAUGCCUGAUGUGAGGCCAGCUCUUUUCAACACUAAUCUAAUCAACACUGCAACAAAAAGAGAGGCAAGAAGCAGAGGGACAGUCGCUGUGUCAGUUAUCCUAGCCACAAUAAUGCCACGCAACAAACAAAAAACUUUAGUGGCACCCAGUACAAAGUUCAUUGCUCCUAAAUCUGGGGUCAGAUGGAGGCUGGCCAGGUGAAUCUCCAGAUCUUGGCUCUGCUCACUUUCUUGCCUGGGGCUGUGCUCGCUGAGGUGGCUUGGCUCCAGUGGACUAGCUACGCUAGACACAGGCAAAAGUAUGGAGGAGAGCAGAAACCUGCAAGGCUUCUUGAAGCCUGGGCUCAAACUGGCACACUUUCCCUUCUGCCUCUUUCCCAUUGGAUGAGUCCAGAUUCAAGAGAUUCUCUGAAACAUUUGUCUGGUGUCCCAGCAGUUACCACUCUCCUCUUCACAGCAUUUGGAAAAGCCUACAUUAUUUUCAGAUUCUCUUCUCUGAGAAUUCUCAGCUCUUUCUUUAUCAAUAUGGUCAUCUGUAACCUGCAGUACUACAGUAAAUCUAAAAAAGGAAAACAAAAAAGUGCUUAUUGGACUCUCAAUGGCCUACCUUUGAAAAUAGCCCCAAGUAAGGGGAAAACUCUGUGGAGCUGAAAGGAAAAUACCCAUGCAUCACCUGACUUCCCCUUUUUCCACAGUAGGUGGGCCAUGCUACUUUCUCCAUCCUUGCUGCCCAUUCAGCUUGGUCACAUGACAAAGCUCUCUCCAAUGGAAUGAGAGCAGAGGUGAUGUGAGCCACUUCUAGGCCUGGUCCAUGAAACCACCUGUGACUUUUGCUAGGAUAGACUUCCUCUAACUGAAUAAAAAUCUAUAUCCCUAUUAUUGCUGUUUGCUGAUCUUAGUUAAUUUUUCUGAAAUAAGAUAAGCCUACCCCUUCUUCCUCACCCCUCUUUAGGGCCCUUUCUAACUCUAAAUAUCUAUGAUUUCAUAACUGAGUUCAGAAUGCCCAUUCAAAAU